AGAGCGAACGUUAGCGGCGGGCCUAACACAUGCAAGUCGAACGAGAAUGAGGGGGCAACUCCUCUAGUAAAGUGGCGGACGGGUGCGUAACACGUAGGUAAUUUACCUUCCGGCGGGGGACAACAGUCCGAAAGGAUUGCUAAUACCGCAUACGUCGGCGAGACCUCAGGGUCUUGUCGGGAAAGAUGGCCUCUCCGUUGGAAGCUGUCACCGGAGAUGAACCUGCGGCCCAUCAGCUUGUGGCGAGUACGGCUC
This 255-nucleotide ribosomal RNA is filed under the name uncultured soil bacterium. RNAcentral describes it as "partial 16S ribosomal RNA". It matches the Rfam family "Bacterial small subunit ribosomal RNA", at positions 26 to 266 of the family's 1533-position model. The record is from RNAcentral.